AAUCGAAGCAGUGAACUUAAGCCCCAGUAAACGGCGGCCGUAACUAUAACGGUCCUAAGGUAGCGAAAUUCCUUGUCGGGUAAGUUCCGACCCGCACGAAAGGCGUAACGAUUUGGGCACUGUCUCAACAACAGACUCGGUGAAAUUGUAAUUCCGGUGAAGAUGCCGGAUACCUGCGACAGGACGGAAAGACCCCAUGGAGCUUUACUGUAGCUUGACAUUGGGUCUUGGUACUACAUGUACAGGAUAGGUGGGAGGCUUUGAAACCAGGACGCCAGUUUUGGCGGAGCCAUCCUUGGGAUACCACCCUUGUAGUACUGGGACUCUAACCAUAGGCCAUGAAUCUGGUCUUGGGACACUGUCAGGUGGGCAGUUUGACUGGGGCGGUCGCCUCCCAAAAGGUAACGGAGGCGCUCAAAGGUUCUCUCAGUACGGUCGGAAAUCGUACGUAGAGUGUAAAGGCAAAAGAGAGCUUGAUUGCAAGACAUACAGGUCGAGCAAGGAUGAAAAUCGGACUUAGUGAUCCGGUGGUUCUGCGUGGAAGGGCCAUCGCUCAACGGAUAAAAGCUACCCUGGGGAUAACAGGCUUAUCUCCCCCAAGAGUCCACAUCGACGGGGAGGUUUGGCACCUCGAUGUCGGCUCAUCACAUCCUGGGGCUGUAGUAGGUCCCAAGGGUUGGGCUGUUCGCCCAUUAAAGUGGUACGCGAGCUGGGUUCAGAACGUCGUGAGACAGUUCGGUCCCUAUCCGUCGCAGGCGUAGGAAAUUUGAGAAGACCUGUCCUUAGUACGAGAGGACCGGGAUGGACGUACCUCUGGUGUACCAGUUGUCCUGCCAAGGGCAUGGCUGGGUAGCUAUGUACGGAAUGGAUAAGCGCUGAAAGCAUCUAAGCGCGAAGCCAACUUCAAGAUAAGAUUUCCCACCGCAAGGGUAAGACCCCAGAAAGACUAUCUGGUUGAUAGGUCGAAGGUGUAAGUGCAGCAAUGUAUUUAGCUUAUCGAUACUAAUAGGUCGAGGACUUGACCAA
Molecule: ribosomal RNA, 1026 nt
Filed under: Clostridioides difficile
Lineage: Bacteria; Bacillati; Bacillota; Clostridia; Peptostreptococcales; Peptostreptococcaceae
Description: bacterial LSU rRNA
Rfam family: Bacterial large subunit ribosomal RNA
Source: RNAcentral